UCCGGAAUUUUGGGCAAUGGGCGAAAGCCUGACCCAGCAACGCCGCGUGAAGGAUGAAGUAUUUCGGUAUGUAAACUUCGAAAGAAUGGGAAGAAUAAAUGACGGUACCAUUUAUAAGGUCCGGCUAACUACGUGCCAGCAGCCGCGGUAAUACGUAGGGACCAAGCGUUGUUCGGAUUUACUGGGCGUAAAGGGCGCGUAGGCGGCUUGACAAGUCACUUGUGAAAUCUCCGGGCUUAACUCGGAACGGCCAAGUGAAACUGUCAUGCUAGAGUGCAGAAGGGGCAAUCGGAAUUCUUGGUGUAGCGGUGAAAUGCGUAGAUAUCAAGAGGAACACCUGAGGUGAAGACGGGUUGCUGGGCUGACACUGACGCUGAGGCGCGAAAGCCAGGGGAGCAAACGGGAUUAGAUACCCAGGUAGUCCCUGAGCGGGCUGGCAAGGCGCAU
Molecule: ribosomal RNA, 447 nt
Filed under: uncultured bacterium
Lineage: Bacteria
Description: bacterial SSU rRNA
Rfam family: Bacterial small subunit ribosomal RNA
Source: RNAcentral